Molecule: ribosomal RNA, 1007 nt
Filed under: Bambusicola bambusae
Lineage: Eukaryota; Fungi; Ascomycota; Dothideomycetes; Pleosporales; Bambusicolaceae
Description: SSU rRNA
Rfam family: Eukaryotic small subunit ribosomal RNA
Source: RNAcentral
UGCGAAUGGCUCAUUAAAUCAGUUAUCGUUUAUUUGAUAGUACCUUACUACUUGGAUAACCGUGGUAAUUCUAGAGCUAAUACAUGCUGAAAACCCCGACUUCGGGAGGGGUGUAUUUAUUAGAUAAAAAACCAAUGCCCUUCGGGGCUCCUUGGUGAUUCAUGAUAACUUCUCAGAUCGCAUGGCCUUGCGCCGGCGACGGUUCAUUCAAAUUUCUGCCCUAUCAACUUUCGAUGGUAAGGUAUUGGCUUACCAUGGUUUCAACGGGUAACGGGGAAUUAGGGUUCGAUUCCGGAGAAGGGGCCUGAGAGACGGCCACUACAUCCAAGGAAGGCAGCAGGCGCGCAAAUUACCCAAUCCCGACACGGGGAGGUAGUGACAAUAAAUACUGAUACAGGGCUCUUUUGGGUCUUGUAAUUGGAAUGAGUACAAUUUAAACCUCUUAACGAGGAACAAUUGGAGGGCAAGUCUGGUGCCAGCAGCCGCGGUAAUUCCAGCUCCAAUAGCGUAUAUUAAAGUUGUUGCAGUUAAAAAGCUCGUAGUUGAACCUUUGGCCUGGCUGGCAGGUCCGCCUCACCGCGUGUACUUGUCCGGCCGGGCCUUUUCUUCUGGAGAACCGCAUGCCCUUCACUGGGUGUGUUGGGGACCAGGACUUUUACUUUGAAAAAAUUAGAGUGUUCAAAGCAGGCCUUUGCUCGAAUACGUUAGCAUGGAAUAAUAGAAUAGGACGUGCGGUUCUAUUUUGUUGGUUUCUAGGACCGCCGUAAUGAUUAAUAGGGACAGUCGGGGCAUCAGUAUUCAAUUGUCAGAGGUGAAAUUCUUGGAUUUAUUGAAGACUAACUACUGCGAAAGCAUUUGCCAAGGAUGUUUUCAUUAAUCAGUGAACGAAAGUUAGGGGAUCGAAGACGAUCAGAUACCGUCGUAGUCUUAACCAUAAACUAUGCCGACUAGGGAUCGGGCGGUGUUUCAAUAUUGACUCGCUCGGCACCUUACGAGAAAUCAAAGUG